GUAGGUGAACCUGCGGAAGGAUCAUUAUCGUGAUUUUUAAUACAAAUCAACGUAUUCACCAAAUUGUGAACUGUUUCUAUAACCUUUUGAUUAGGGUUGUUAGGAAAAAAAGAGAAGCUAAUUCUUGGUCCGUGGCGUCAUUUGUUCUUCAUUGAUAAAUGAACUCUUUUCUUGAAUGAUUUGAAAAGAGGAAGGCUUGGACUAUGAAUUCUUUUGAGUUCUUAAAAACAACUCAAAACUUAUUCUUUUU
Molecule: unclassified non-coding RNA, 250 nt
Filed under: plant metagenome
Description: partial contains small subunit ribosomal RNA, internal transcribed spacer 1, and 5.8S ribosomal RNA
Source: RNAcentral